GUCCGUUCCUCCAGCUGGCAGCAGAGACGUUCUCUGUUGGUUUUAGGGACGUUGCAGUUACCUUCCUGAGGCCUCGCCUGCACGCGCAGGCGUGACUUGAAAUAAGAUCAUAAGAGUUUUUAAUAGAAAUACGGAGCUUUGAUGCAUGCCCUGGAGCGCACCGGCCGCAGCGUUUUGCUUAGGAAGAGGUUGCAAAGGCCAGCAUCCCAGAUUAUUCCUGAUGUUCGUGCUCCUGUCCAGGGAUCAGCCACCGAAUGCUCUCCGUUCGGACGGUAGCGUACAUGACAAAGCUAGCCAGGAAGAGCAAAGAAAAGAGAAGCAGCCAGUCUAUGCCUUUUGUCAGAACGCUGGGCAGGGGGCCUUCCCAGUCUUCCUCGGUCACAGCCACGUCGCUUUUAGCUUCGAUACCUGAAAAAGCAGGCACCUGAUCAACACCAGUAAUAAUCAUCAAAUGCAGAGAAGUUGGUUGUAUUUGGACCUUUGUUCCUUGUCUCAGACUAAAGCGUAUGUACCGUUGGACUUAAAAUUUUGGUGAGACAGUCUCGUAUUUUAA
Molecule: non-coding RNA, 553 nt
Organism: Phalacrocorax carbo (great cormorant)
Lineage: Eukaryota; Metazoa; Chordata; Aves; Suliformes; Phalacrocoracidae
Source: RefSeq, a predicted model, not a curated record